RNAcentral lists this small RNA (82 nucleotides) under Marmota monax (woodchuck). Lineage: Eukaryota; Metazoa; Chordata; Mammalia; Rodentia; Sciuridae. The record is from RNAcentral.
GCCAGGCAUGGUGGCGCAUACCUGUAAUACCAGCGGCUUGGGAGGCUGAGGCAGGAGGAUCACCUGUUCAAGCCAGCCUCUG